UGUGGCAUCUUUCUGAACUCCCCCGAUCGUUCGACCUUCCACAGUGUCCUUCAGAUUCCUCCAACGGACAAACUCCUAUCGUACCCUCUAGAUUUCUUCAAUAAUGAGCUCCUUCAGUCGUCUAUCGGACUGCUCCAAAUACUCUUUGAGCUUCACUAUCAGCCGAUUUUCUACAGUAAUCGACUACUCUUCGAAUCUCUUCCAGACUUCCUCCUGUCACGAUCGACUUUACUCCGAGCUUCUUUCGAACUUUGUC
RNAcentral lists this long non-coding RNA (256 nucleotides) under Elaeis guineensis (African oil palm). Its description in RNAcentral is "long non-coding RNA (EGUI_LNC078185)". The record is from RNAcentral. Lineage: Eukaryota; Viridiplantae; Streptophyta; Magnoliopsida; Arecales; Arecaceae.